GAGGGCAUAGCACAGUGGUGGAGCACAUGCCUAGCAAGCACAAGGUCCUGGGUUCAAUCCCCAGCACCUCUA
RNAcentral lists this transfer RNA (72 nucleotides) under Camelus bactrianus (Bactrian camel). It matches the Rfam family "tRNA". From Rfam's summary of the family: Transfer RNA (tRNA) molecules are approximately 80 nucleotides in length. The record is from Rfam by way of RNAcentral. Lineage: Eukaryota; Metazoa; Chordata; Mammalia; Artiodactyla; Camelidae. RNAcentral also lists the same sequence under 2 other names.